GGCGUGGAUAAGACAUGCAAGUCGAACGAGGUCAGUUUUGUAGCAAUACAGAGCUGACCUAGUGGCGAACGGGUGCGUAACACGUGACUUACCUGCCUAAAAGUGGGGGAUAGCUCGCCGAAAGGCGAAUUAAUACCGUAUGUGAUCGCAAGAUCAAAGCAGCAAUGCGCUUUUAGAUGGAGUCGCGGCCUAUCAGCUUGUUGGCGAGGUAAUGGCUCACCAAGGCUUUGACGGGUAGCUGGUCUGAGAGGACGACCGGCCACACUGGAACUGAGACACGGUCCAGACACCUACGGGUGGCAGCAGUCGAGAAUUUUUCUCAAUUUGAAGGCCCCUGAAGGAGCGACGCCGCGUGGAGGAUGAAGUUAUGGGGGUUGUAAACUCCUGUCAUCUGGGAACAAAACUCGCAAGAGCGG
Molecule: ribosomal RNA, 416 nt
Filed under: uncultured bacterium
Lineage: Bacteria
Description: bacterial SSU rRNA
Rfam family: Bacterial small subunit ribosomal RNA
Source: RNAcentral